UCCCCAGUAGCAUAGUUGGCCAAUGCACAGUGCUUAUAGUUUGAUGCGAAACUAUACUUCCGAGCCACGCUGCAGACGCGAGUUCGAGUCUCGCCUGGGGUA
Non-coding RNA from Hyaloraphidium curvatum, 102 nucleotides. Lineage: Eukaryota; Fungi; Monoblepharomycota; Hyaloraphidiomycetes; Hyaloraphidiales; Hyaloraphidiaceae. The record is from the annotation of a GenBank genome assembly.